RNAcentral lists this ribosomal RNA (460 nucleotides) under uncultured bacterium. Its description in RNAcentral is "partial 16S ribosomal RNA". It matches the Rfam family "Bacterial small subunit ribosomal RNA", at positions 338 to 795 of the family's 1533-position model. The record is from RNAcentral.
CCUACGGGAGGCAGCAGUGAGGAAUAUUGGUCAAUGGGCGCGAGCCUGAACCAGCCAAGUCGCGUGAGGGAGGACGGCCCUACGGGUUGUAAACCUCUUUUGCCGGGGAGCAACGGGCGUCACGUGUGGCGCCACUGCGAGUACCCGGAGAAAAAGCAUCGGCUAACUCCGUGCCAGCAGCCGCGGUAAUACGGAGGAUGCGAGCGUUAUCCGGAUUUAUUGGGUUUAAAGGGUGCGUCGGCGGAUCGUUAAGUCAGGGGUAAAAUUGAGGGGCUAAACCCGUUCCCGCCAUUGAAACUGGCGCUCUUGAGUGGAAGAGAAGUAUGCGGAAUGCGUGGUGUAGCGGUGAAAUGCAUAGAUAUCACGCAGAACCCCGAUUGCGAAGGCAGCAUGCCGGCUUCCGACUGACGCUGAAGCACGAAAGCGUGGGGAUCGAACAGGAUUAGAUACCCCAGUAGUC